Misgurnus anguillicaudatus (oriental weatherfish) is the source of this 2607-nucleotide non-coding RNA. Lineage: Eukaryota; Metazoa; Chordata; Actinopteri; Cypriniformes; Cobitidae. The record is from RefSeq and is a predicted model, not a curated record.
AGGGUUAUGUUUUAAAUCAUAUUUUAGGAUUGCACUUAAUUGAUAUUGCUGUUGAGUGAUGUUUCAUAUCUUUUACAUUUGUUAUAACCGGACUGCAUGCGAAUUUGAACUUCAGAGCUGAAGGAGCGGGUGGAGAAAUAGUCCCAAUAUCAUAACAAUCUUAAAUAAAACUUCUAAAUAUGCCCGUGUGUGUACCCGUGUGCGCGCGCGCGUGCGCGCGACCCGCUCGCGCGCGCCUGUGUAUGUACAGUAUGUGCGUGAGUUUUUAAUUUAAAAUGUCUUAACUUAACUCGGAAGGAUCUGAAUCACAGGUCAUUUCAUCUGAGAUCAUUCCGCAUGUAACAGCCCGGAAUCACUCACUGUUUCCCACAACGACACAAGUCAUCAGCCGUUUCCUCAAGGUCACGUCAGAGCGGUGAUGAUGUGGAGAAGGCAGACCAGACCACCACCAUACGCGAAGAUGAGGCUCGAGGCGUGACAGUUAUUUUUUCAAACUGAGGAGUUCGGACUCCGGACCGGCAUUUCUGCUUGUUUGUACCCUGAGAUAAGUAAACUUUCUACAUUUUUGAACCGAUAUUACUGAAAUAUUUAGUAUAAUUAGUUAAUAUUUAUUUUGUUAGAGUAGGUCUUGUGCUAAAUAGUGAUACUAGAAGCUACAUUUAUAAUAUUUACCUCAGUUAAAAAAUACUGCUGGUAACGUUAAAGCACUGACGGGCUUCGUCAACCGUCAGUUAUAAAAGCUCUGUUAAAUACAUUUUGUUCCUGGUUUUAAUGAAUUACGUUACAGUCCUGCUUUAUUUCUUUGUCAUUUUAAAUUAAUUUGCCAAGCACAAUAAGACAGCUGUGUUGUAAGGAGACGAAAUUCGAGAUAAAAUGGCCCCAAACAUCAUCAGGAGUGCAAAAGAAGGAAGUAAAAAACAUCUCUACGCCAAUCUCAUUGGAGAGGAAACCACAGAAGGUCUGGUGAGGAAUGCUGCACUUAUGUUAUUGCAAGCAUUAUUUCAAGAAAAUCCCAGCUUCCUUGACUGUGUAAAUAGUCAUACAGCUCCACAUCAAUUAUUAUGAGUCUUGUUGGUUCGAACCCAAAGGUCCCACACCAACCAUAGUGUUCAACGGCUCUCCUGAUCUUCUCAAAUCUGAAAGUAUCAACUUUAUAAUGGACAAUGUGAACUUAAUAUGUGGAAGACAUUGACAUCACAGGCUGUGGAAUGACUGUGUCACAGGUCGGAGAAGCGAACCGCCCCUGUCGCGGAUCACGCUCCUCCUAGUUCCACCUCGAGGAGGUCCCAAAGCACCCCAAUGACCAGACGAACCAGAGAUAAGUAAAAUAUAGAAAUAGAAACUUUAUUUAAAUUAUUUAAAGCUAAAGUGGGGAAUGGGAAAGGGAAUGUAAAAAUCUCGCUUCUCGCCCUCAGGGGGAGUAUUACGGGGCCAGGGACGUUGGAGGGGUUUCCACGUGACUACAGCUGGAACACCGCUACAGAGCGUAUCUGGGUGGGUUGGGCACACACCAUCGCGGCGGCCCCUGAUGGCAUCCACAAAGGUCCAAGACGCUCCUAAGCUCCUAGCCGUAGCAGAACUACGUAUUUCAGCACCCGAAGGACUAACAACCCAGCCGGCAUCUGCAGCGUAUAUCCAACGCGAUCAAACUUCACUCUGACAAGUAACUUCCUAUACACAACCACGCCGUCCUUUCGCCCGGACCAGCCCCGCACUCUUUCCGCCCGCUACCUAGCGGUCGCCGGAUCAGCAGAGCCUGCGGACUCUUCGGAGGCUGGUCUUCGUUGUGCUGCCCAAGGCGGAAGUUGACUCGCCCGAAAAUCGACCCUUCCAGUAACUUCUACCUUCUCUCUUUAUAUCCUCCUCCACUCACACAGCUGUGCCUUGUUUCAGCGAGUGCGGGGAUUCCCGGGGAACCCGGAAGUGCCGGUAUCUGUACAAACCGGGCCGGGCGAAACCUCUUCACUCUCCUUUUGGUUCCGCCCCGCAUAGUCACUUCGUGACAACUGUUUGCGUUUUUUUUCUCCUCAAUGUUCAAUACCCUUUUGCCAUUAAGCACACAGUGACUUUAAUUUAUAAAAUAUAUGCUGAAGUUUUAAUACCUGUACAAAACAAAUGUACAAUCAACUUGUGUAAAUUGUCAUUCUAUUUAAUAGAUUGUUCAUGAAUUGUCUUUAAAUGCAUUGUGAUUUCGGUAACACUUUACAAUAAAGUUCAUUAGUUAACAUUAGUUAAUGUAUUAACUAACUUGAACAAACCAUAAGCAAUACAUUUGUUACAGAAUUUAUUCAUCUUUGUUAAUGUUAGUUAAUAACAAUUUAAGCUUUAAUUGCUUGUUCAUGUUAGUUCAGAGUGCAUUAACUAAUGUUAACAAGAUUUAAAUAAAGUAAUUGUUGAAAUUAACAUUAACAAAGGUUAAUAAAGGCUGUAUAAGUGCAGUUCAUUCUUAGUUUAUGUUAACUAAUGUAGCUAACUAAUGUUAACUAAUGAACCUUAUUGUAAAGUGUUACCGUGAUUUCUUUUCAUAAUUUCAGACACAUGUAAAAGUUACUAAAAAUUAGUACUGCAUAUACUGUACAGUAUCUAUGCGCAAGGGAAAUAACUUGA